UCUCCCCUCCCUUUCCCUCUUCUUUCUCUUCAUCCCUUUCUCCUCACCUCUUGCCCCUCCUUACUUUCUCCCCUCUUGCUUUCUUCCCUCUCUUCCCCUCUUCCCUUCUUUCCCCCUCUCCGUUUGGUCUUUUCUCCCCCUCUUUUUGCCCUACUGCCAUUCUCUCCUCUCCCUUCUUUCAUCCUGGUGGGGUGGGGUGUACUUGUUGCUAAGAAAUUCCUCAAAAGGAGAGUGCUAGAGAUACUUGGAGAAAGGACUGGCUUCCAGUUCGCCUUUUCCCCCAACACUUGGCUGGUGUCUCCACCUGGGACCCGCUUCCUAUUUAAAGCGUUAGUAGCAGGUGCUGGCCUCUCGAAUGAUGGACAGGUCGGGCUGCUGCCCGGGCCCUUCCCCCUCGCUAUCUCCACUUUUUCUCCUGGACUCUGCUGACUCAAUGAUCUUGUUUACUCGGAGUCAGUAUCUUCUUGGGUGAAUGCAGUGCAUUGCAUGUCUCCGGCAAUGUGCUGGAGCAAUCAUAAGCUUAAUGUGGCCCAAGACUUUGGAACAACCUUGAACUUUCUUCCACCCUUGGGAGGACCAAGAGGCGAGCAUCGUUUGUCUUUAAUUCCAUUUGACAAGUUUUUAGCGAUCAGUUACGAGGGACACUAGCAUUGUGCUAGCUGCUAUAAUUUUUUGUUACUCUAAAGCCUCUAAUUUGUCUGGAAGAAACUGGAUUUGCUUUAAAGAAAACUGUCUACAGUUCCAUUUGGCAUAAAUUAUAAGAAAUUGUCAUUAAAUCAUUAGAGAUUGUGAAGCCCAGCCCCUUCUUUAUUUUACAGCCGAGGAACUGAGGCACAAAGAAGUUGUGACUUGGCUAGGAUCACACUCUAACUGCUGAAAGUAGGAAUUGGGCAGUUAGGUGGCUCAAUGGAUAGAGCCAGGUCUGUCUGGAGACAUAGAUCUUGGGUUCAAAUUUGACCACAGAUACUGUCUAGCUGUGACCUGGGUAGAUCACCUAACUCUCAUUGUUUAGCCUUUUCUGCUCUUCUGCCUUAGAAUCAAUAUUGAUUCUAAGAUGGAAGGUAAGAGUUUAAAAACAGGAAAAAAAAAGUAGAGUUUGAGUGGUCUGCUUACUCUGUUUCAUUUAUGGUUCCAAAUCCCAAAGUUUACCUAAAUGUAAAUAUGACAAUCUAUAGCCAUUUUUUUUUCUGCAACCCUCACUUCCUUUUUUCCCCCCCUUUUCUGGGCAAAAAGUCAGUUCACAUGUAUUUAACUGCUUUAUUUGUAACUUAACUCCCAACUCUCUGAGGUAUCAUAAGCCAACUUUUGUCUAGGUUUUCCAAUGGGUUGACCAAAGGGAGUUCACCCAAAUCUCUGGAAGAUUUCUUCAUAUAAUCUUGACAUUGAAAGGCUACUAGUGGGCUGACUCUCCAUAGGUUAUCCACAUGAUCAGCCCAUCUUCUUUACUGGCCACAUAUCCUUUGUAUAUCAUCCUUUACCCAAGCUCUUUAUAGUCUAUUAUUUGUUAUGUGUUAGAAGUCUGCUCACUCCCUUCCAGCAUACACCUCUCAUUACCUUCUGUUGUCAUAGUUGUUCAGUCAUUUUAGCUGUAUCUACCUCUUUGUGAGCUCAUUUGGGGUUCUCUUGGCAAAGAUAUUGGAGCGGCUUUCCAUUUCCUCCCUUGUCUCAUUUUAUAAAUGAGGAAACUGAGGCAAACAUUGUUCAGAGAUUCGUCCAGGGUCAUCCAGCUGGUAGCUUCUUGAUUUCUGAGGGGUAUAUAUUUACAACUCAUUUAUAAGCAUAUUAAAAUUGGCAGGGGAUUUUUUUUCAUCCUGCUGUAGGUAGGUAGUGUACUACCUUCCUAAUUAGAUUAAGGUCUCCCCUUUAGUGUCUCUUUUUUAUUAAUAAUAAUGAUGACAGUAAUGAUACUAAUAAGGUAGACUUACAAUUUUAUUGGCAUAUGAAGGUCCUGGUGAGCAAAUUCAUUUUAUCAAAGCCAUUUAGCCCCUUCUUUGCAUUUUAUACCUUAGAGUUGCCUAGAGUAUUCGAAGUUAAGUGACUUGCUCUGGAUCAUACAGCCUCUUUGUGCCAAAGACAAAACUUGAAUCCAGGUCUUCCGGGCUCUGAGGUGAUUCUCCAUAAAUUAGGUCUGGCUAGGUCCUAGCUGGAGCAUGAGAGAUGAGAGAAGAAGUUGCCAAAGAGGCUCUUAGAUCUCUCAGGCUCUCACUUCCAAUUUUAGCUUCCAAAGUACAAGGCAGCAGAUAGCUGCAGGGAGGGGGAGAUGUCACUGGUUAUUCCUCUCACCUUUUCCUUGCCUUCAGCUAUAGCAUGCAUUGCAUUGCCCAAAUCACAAGGCAGAGCAGGGUCUCUCCAAAGCUGGUGAGGUCUUCUUGGUGGUGCUGCUGCUGCUGUUGAUGAUGAUGCAGGGAGGAGGUCCUUUGUACUAGGAAGCAGCGCAGCAUGCCCCACUCCCAUCUCCUGCUGGGUUUCUGAGCAGAACCAUCGGGUAAAGCAACCAAUUAAGAUUAUCCUGGCAAUGGCUUUCAAGGAUACCUGAACUUAAGAUCUCUGAGAUAGUCCUCUAGCUCUCCAGGCAUGGUGUCUCCAAGGCUUUGACUAAGGUGGUAGUGAUGGAAAUAAAUAUGAAAAGAGUUUUAAUGGGUGGGGGGAAAGUUCUAGAUAACUGGGUGUAUUAGCUGAGUAGUCCACCACUGAGGGUGGGAAGAGUGAUGGGUCAUCUUAGGGUGGAGGGGAGACUGGGAAGAGUGCCUAGAAAAUUAGCCUAGGGGAAUGAGUCUCCCCUUCUCCUUCAUCAACAUUUUACUUAGAACCAGCCCUGCUUUGUGUACUAAAAUUGCCCUAAAGAUUGUAUUCAAUUUAACCUAGGCAAACAUUUAUUGUCUGUUCUGUAGGGAAAGAAAGACAAAAACAGAAGAGUCUCUCCCUGCCCCCAGGAAACUUGUGUUCUAUUGGAAGCUUUAGUUUUUAAUUUAUUAAUGCUCAUUACCUUCUGGGACUAGGCUUUGGUUUUAGGAAGUCUGGGGCAGAGUCUAGAGCUCUAUCUCUUAAGAAUCUUUGAAUUUCGGGAGGUCCUAGGUUCAAAUCUGGCCUCAGACACUUCCCAGCUGUGUGACCCUGGGCAAGUCACUUGACCCCCAUUGCCUACCCUUACCACUCUUCUGCCUUGGAGCCAAUACACAGUAUUGACUCCAAGACGGAAGGUAAGGGUUUUAAAAAAAAAAAAGAAUCUUUGAAUUUAUCCUUAUUGAAUUUGCUUUUUUACUCCCUACUGAGGGAAGGAAACAGUUGGUCCCAGUUCUUAAUCUUAGUCACAUUUAAGGGGAUUGAAAAAGUAAUCAAAAGAAAUUACAUCUUUCCAGAUUAAUUAGUCUACAUAUUUCAGUGUUCCUGAGAAAGACUUAAGCAGAAGUGGAAAAAGAUUAUGGUGUUAAACUCUCACAUGGUGUGUGUGUGUGUGUGUGUGUGACAAGUACAUCUGACUUGUACAAAGACUUAUGUUAGAGUUAAAAAGGACUGCUCCUCUUAUUAAUAAUGAUGAUGAUUAGUUCAUGGCUUUUUAACCUUUUCUUUUCUUGGAUCCUUUUGAUCAUUUUAAAUGUAACAAACUUAUGAAUUGCAAUAAUUUGUGGAUAAAAGGAAAAGAGAAUAAAACUAAUGAUUGAUAUAUUGACAAAAACCCAGUUUGGGGCAAUCCCCCUUGGCAUAAGAGUAUCCAUUCAAAACAAAUGCAUCCAACCCUCCAAAGUUCAAUUUAGUACAUCCCAAAGUUCACUCUGGAUCUUCUAGUACAGCGUGUGGUCUCUGCAGGUAUCUUCAUGGUGCCUUCUCUGAAAAGUUUCACCUUCUGGACUCUGGGAGGUUGCAAUUUUCUUAUCCUAAAAGUACUCUGAAAGGAAUUUAAACUUUGCAUUAUAGGAUAAUAAUAGUCCUCCCUGAGGGGGAUGGUGACAAACACAGGAUCACUCAGGGAUACAUGGUUACAUUAUGAGGUAUAUGAAUCAGUUGGCAAAAGAAAUUAAAAAACAUCAAAAAAUCCAAAUAAAAGAGAAGAAAUAACUUCUGGAUGAAAUACAAAAUAUCAAAGUCUUAUGUCUAAAAAAAUCUAAGUAAAGAAAAACAAACCUAUAACAGGUCCUUGAAUCAGAGCCCAAUUAAAGUGAUUUAUGUAAUUAUGCAAUUACCCAAUCAGUAGCCAGGACUAUAGAAAGUUUGCCUCACUAUGAAGGACAGAAAAGGGACUAGAUUAUGGGAGCCAGAUAGGAGCCAAAGUGAGGUGCUUGAUAUAUUAUGUAGAACAAGGAAGACCUGCCUCUGACAUUUGUCAAACAGCCUCAACCUCAAACCCCAAACAAGUUCAAGUCCUCUCGUCUUGGCUCAAAAUUUCUUCAAUUCCAUUGAGGUUGGUUGGUCUUUUUGACCUUAUGCUCUAUAGGCACUAUGCAGGUAGAUUUGUGCUUCUUUGGCAGUAUGCAGUGCUUCUUUUUGUAUUCCCUUCUCCUGGAAUCAGACAGAAUCAUUAAGCAAAGUCUCAUAAUUUUUUUUUAAACAAUCAAUGGCAUUAUUUUUAUAGUCUAAAGCUUUUUGAGUAUGCAUUGACAUUAGGGCAAAUGUAUUUUAAACAUAUUAAUGCAAAGUAAAAAAAAGUUAAAGAAAAUCUUCUCAAUACUGGUGAUAUGUGCUUCAGAUGCAAAAAGGAGAGAAAAAAAUAAAAAUCAAAUACUAUUUUGUACAUGCAAGGAAAAACAAUAAUAAAAAAGUUUUAAAAAUCAAAAAUAUAUAGCUUAAAAAUCAGUGACACACUGUGUCAGCCAAGGAGAGGUAGAAUAUAAAGGUUUCUCACCCAAAAAUGAGAUCCAUUUCGUUUUUUAACUUGGCCAUGAACUACUGUGUGUGUGCAAAUGGUUUUCACAAAGUAACAGAUUUAUAAAACAGUAAUACAGUAGAAAAUGUACAUUUAAAGAAAGUACCAAAAUCUCCAAAAUUCACAAUAGCCCAGUUAAUGACAAUAGCAAACAAACCCACUAUCUUAUAGGAUUCACAUGAGUUGCUGUAUAGCUACUUGCUGAAUGACAUUUAAAAACCCUGUGAGCUGAUGGAUACUUGUCACAAGUUUUACAGGUGUAGCAAAUCUUUCAACCUUGGCAAAGAUAUUUUUAACAAAUUCCAUUACUGCCAUUAUUCCAAAAUUUGGCAGAAGAGCCUAGGAAAAACACAAACCUCUAUACUGCUGAUGAAAACCUUUUGGGGUAUAAAACAUCACCAAGAGAUGUAGAUUGUUCUGAUAGAAGUAGAUUAAACUGAAGAGUUAAAAAACAAAACAAAACAUGCAGAAGCUUACUUUGGCUUCAUGCUUUAUAUAAAACUUUUAUGACAGGAACUUCUAUUUUGUUCUCUACCUUUUAAUUUAACAUUCCUAUAUAUACAUCUGUGUGGUAAUUUAAUUUAACAAUAAUUUAAUAAAUGCAAAAAGGAAGAAAAGGCUGUUUAGGCAAUGUGUGACCUCUAUGGAUAAGGUAACAAAUGCAGUAUCCUUAAGGAGUUAUGGUUUUGCUACUAAAAAAGGUAUUUAUGGGCUUUCACAAUGAUAUGUUCUUCAAUACAGUCAUAAUGGAAAGGUAAAAAUAAAGAUCAUGUAACCGAAUAUAUUGAUUAGAUUAAUGUAUGAACUUAAAAAAGAAUUAAGCUUUAAAACAAUCAGUAAAAUACAAGAAGCACUGACAGGGUACAGGUAGUGAAUUAAAAAAUCCCUUUUUUUUUCUAAUUCCAAUAGACUUCUUCACUAUUAUGGAGGGGAAUAAACUCAAAAUCGUUAGCAAGCAAAAAACUUCCAUAUAGCUUUAAGAUUCAUUCACCUCCCCAGUAUUUAUCAUCCAUUUGCAUAUCUUUUGUCACCCCUCUGGAGUUUCUCAUACAUGCACUAGGCAUAAUCUCCAUUCUGCAUGUUGAGAGUAUUUAAGAUUUUCAAAACUUUGUCAAAAUGUUCGAGUUUGAUCUAGAAUUCAAGUAACCUAGCUUGUUGCUGCAUAUUCUUAAGGAGAGGUAAAUAAAGUGGCAAAUCUCCAAUAAAAAUAAAAACUCCAGGAAAAGAAUUAAACAGAGCCAGUGUAAGUUUGCCAGCUCUUCCAACUCAAAUUCUUGUUUCAGAGUUUCAAGCAUGUUUCCUAAUAGCACUAUUCCUCAAAAAACAAAACAAAACAAAACAAAACAAAAUGGAAUGGAUUUUAUUUAUAGGGUAAACAAAAAGGUCCCUGACUGGAAAGUAAAGGAAUUAGCUAGGAGGCUUGGAAAAGUAUUUUUCUUUCACCUCUUCCCAAGGGGCAAAACUUUGAGGGAAAACUAUAUCAUAUUUGCAUAUGAGAAAGAAUACUCCUUGGUGUUAAAAAAUCAGGUUUAUUCCCCAAAAUUCUGGCUUUAAAUCCACUGAUUUGGGCUAACUGCUCUCCCUGUUAUGUUGGGUUGUAGGGUGGAAAGAGAAAAAAAAUGGCAGGGAAUUCCCCUUCCUGUGAAAAAAAUCCUGGGUUGCAAGCCAGGAGUAGAGGGUCAUCUUAAGAAAUCUGCUUAGAAAUUAGAAGGGAGGUGGGGGUGAAUAGCAUGGGUUUGCUUCUCCCCUGCAGAAAAACGCCUAGGACAGGUUAGAAACCCAUGUGGGGGUGGGGUGGGGGAAGGGAUUUAUACUUCACCCAGUUCUUAAGAAUUCCCAGCUUGUGUGUUGAAAAGACACAGCACAGGCUCACAGCAGGAGGGUCUGGUCACAGGCUAGUGGAGGCUGCUAGCAGUCGCAGAAGCACAGGCAGUGGGGAAUGCUGGUUCAAGUAGAUGGGCUUAAGAAGCAGCAGGAGAGAAAAUGAGGCUUACAAAGUUUCUCUACUGGCUAUUCUUUCUCAAAGCCUUAAUUUUAAAAAAAAUUAUAUCCCUAUGUGGUAAGCUACAAUGUGAGAAUUAAAAUUAAUAUAUGAUAACUCAAGUAUUAUAUUUAUGAAAUUUAUUAAAAUAAAAACUAGAGUUAAAAAGGAGCUAGCUAACUCAAGAAAGAAGAGACAGAGGGAGGAGUCACAGAAAGUUAUUACAAUCAUGUAAAGACGUAUGUAAAUGAAAGGAAAAGGAUGCUGGGAAAUACAAAAGGAAUUCUGGGGAAGGUAGUCCUGGGGUUCAAGAUUUUCCAACUAUGCAACUUCAGGCACUGGGUAUGCAAAGAAAGACAAAGGAUAGCAUUUUAUUUAAUAUACAUAAGGGGCUUAUAGACAAUUGAGGGAGAGAACCUGAUAUAUU
Non-coding RNA from Monodelphis domestica (gray short-tailed opossum), 7269 nucleotides. Lineage: Eukaryota; Metazoa; Chordata; Mammalia; Didelphimorphia; Didelphidae. The record is from RefSeq and is a predicted model, not a curated record.